AACAAACGCUGGCGGCGUGCCUAACACAUGCAAGUCGUACGAGAAAGUCGGCUUCGGCCGAUGAGUACAGUGGCGCACGGGUGAGUAGCGCGUGGGUAAUCUGCCCCCCGGUCAGGAAUAACCCGCCGAAAGGCGGGCUAAUACCCGAUAACACUGACGCUCCGCGGAGCGUCUUUCAAAGAAGGCCUCUGUUUACAAGCUUUCGCCGGAGGAUGAGCCCGCGUACCAUUAGCUAGUUGGCAGGGUAAUGGCCUACCAAGGCUACGAUGGUUAGCUGGUCUGAGAGGAUGGCCAGCCACACUGGAACUGAGACACGGUCCAGACUCCUACGGGAGGCAGCAGUGAGGAAUCUUGCGCAAUGGGGGAAACCCUGACGCAGCAACGCCGCGUGAGUGAGGAAGGCCUUCGGGUCGUAAAGCUCUGUCAGAUGGGAAGAAAUGGAUGGGGGCGUAAUAUCGCCCAUCCUUGACGGUACCAUCAGAGGAAGCACCGGCUAACUCCGU
Molecule: ribosomal RNA, 503 nt
Filed under: uncultured bacterium
Lineage: Bacteria
Description: bacterial SSU rRNA
Rfam family: Bacterial small subunit ribosomal RNA
Source: RNAcentral